Lathyrus oleraceus (garden pea) is the source of this 767-nucleotide long non-coding RNA. RefSeq lists it as uncharacterized. The record is from RefSeq and is a predicted model, not a curated record. The transcript has 2 exons. NCBI's taxonomy places the organism in Eukaryota, Viridiplantae, Streptophyta, Magnoliopsida, Fabales, Fabaceae.
CAUGCCUGGUGUAUCUCAUCAACAUUCUAAUUAUACACCACACCAAAAUCAAUAAAGUGAUGAUAAUUUUAUAUACUUUAAUUCAGUUCAAUUAUUACUCACCUCACCAUCUCUAUGCAGUUGUGUCAUUAUAAAGUCACACCUUAUGUACUUGAAUUCUCACCUCAUCCUCCUCUUUGAUUAACCUAUGAAUCCUAAUAGAUCAGCUAUGGCAGCGAUCUUCAUCUUCUUGACGAUCUUCACGGUGGCAUUUGCCUUCGACAUGUCUAUCAUUUCCUAUGAAAGAACUCACGCAGACAAGUCCUCAUGGAGGAGUGACAGUGAGGUAAUGAGCAUGUACGAGGAGUGACUUGUGAGGCAUAGAAAGGUGAAUGACAACAACAUGGGAGAAAAGGAAAAGAGAUUUGAAAUAUUUAAAGACAACCUUAGGUUCAUCGACGAACAAGAAGAGUAACCGUUAUGCUGCAAGUGUCGGUGAAGAAGGUGCUGUAACCCAAGUCAAACACCAAGGAACUUGCGGCCAUGUGCAAGGAUUUGGAUUGUCGGCUGUCACAAAACCACACGAAAGUGGCCAAGUGUAAUUGACCGUCCGAUCAAGAUUGAAUGGUUCUUAUUUAAAGCUGAUAAUUUUGAUAAAAAGAAAUCUGUUUUUUUCCAACCAUGCGAUCGAAAUCAAACGAUCAAUAAUAUUUUGACACGUGAAUGCGGACAAUUUUCGAUUGAAUGGUGUCUUUCAGUUUAAUAAGAAAUUAUGAGUUUGAAUUUAA